UACGUAGGUGGCAAGCGUUGUCCGGAUUUACUGGGCGUAAAGAGCGCGCAGGCGGUCAUCCAAGUCGGGUGUGAAAGCCCCCGGCUCAACUGGGGAGGGUCAUUCGAUACUGAUCGACUCGAAGGCAGGAGAGGGUAGUGGAAUUCCCGGUGUAGUGGUGAAAUGCGUAGAUAUCGGGAGGAACACCAGUGGCGAAGGCGACUACCUGGCCUGUUCUUGACGCUGAGGCGCGAAAGCUAGGGGAGCAAACGGG
Molecule: ribosomal RNA, 253 nt
Filed under: uncultured bacterium
Lineage: Bacteria
Description: partial 16S ribosomal RNA
Rfam family: Bacterial small subunit ribosomal RNA
Source: RNAcentral